UACGUAGGGUGCAAGCGUUGUUCGGAAUUACUGGGCGUAAAGCGCGUGUAGGUGGUCAAACAAGUCGGAUGUGAAAGCCCUCGGCUUAACCGAGGAAGUGCGUCCGAAACUAUUUGGCUAGAGUACGGGAGAGGAGGAUGGAAUUCCCAGUGUAGAGGUGAAAUUCGUAGAGAUUGGGAAGAACACCUGUGGCGAAAGCGGUUCUCUAGACCGUAACUGACACUGAGACGCGAAAGCGUGGGGAGCAAACAGG
Molecule: ribosomal RNA, 253 nt
Filed under: uncultured bacterium
Lineage: Bacteria
Description: partial 16S ribosomal RNA
Rfam family: Bacterial small subunit ribosomal RNA
Source: RNAcentral